This 828-nucleotide ribosomal RNA is filed under the name uncultured Actinomycetes bacterium. RNAcentral's name for it is "bacterial SSU rRNA". It matches the Rfam family "Bacterial small subunit ribosomal RNA", at positions 616 to 1447 of the family's 1533-position model. The record is from RNAcentral. Lineage: Bacteria; Bacillati; Actinomycetota; Actinomycetes.
CUGACCUGCAUCCGAUACGGUCGAGCUAGAGUUUGGUAGGGGAGACUGGAAUUCCUGGUGUAGCGGUGGAAUGCGCAGAUAUCAGGAGGAACACCGAUGGCGAAGGCAGGUCUCUGGGCCAAUACUGACACUGAGGAGCGAAAGCGUGGGGAGCGAACAGGAUUAGAUACCCUGGUAGUCCACGCCGUAAACGGUGGGCGCUAGUUGUGCGAACCUUCCACGGUUUGUGCGACGCAGCUAACGCAUUAAGCGCCCCGCCUGGGGAGUACGAUCGCAAGAUUAAAACUCAAAGGAAUUGACGGGGCCCCGCACAAGCAGCGGAGCAUGCGGCUUAAUUCGACGCAACGCGAAGAACCUUACCAAGGCUUGACAUAUACAGGAAUAUGGCAGAGAUGUCAUAGCCGCAAGGUCUGUAUACAGGUGAUGCAUGGUUGUCGUCAGCUCGUGUCGUGAGAUGUUGGGUUAAGUCCCGCAACGAGCGCAACCCUCGUUCUGUGUUGCCAGCAUUUAGUUGGGGACUCACAGGAGACUGCCGGGGUUAACUCGGAGGAAGGUGGGGAUGACGUCAAAUCAUCAUGCCCCUUAUGUCUUGGGCUGCACGCAUGCUACAAUGGCUGGUACAAACGGCUGCGAUACCGCAAGGUGGAGCGAAUCCGAGAAAGCAGUCUCAGUUCGGAUUGGGGUCUGCAACUCGACCCCAUGAAGUCGGAGUUGCUAGUAAUCGUAGAUCAGCAACGCUACGGUGAAUACGUUCCCGGGGCUUGUACACACCGCCCGUCACAUCACGAAAGUCGGUAACACCCAAAGUCAGUGGCCCAACCGCAAGGA